AAUUAACUUCAGUGUGAGGGUUACAAGUGGUAUUUGCAACGAUAAUCUGAAGAGACAAGGAAAGGAGCCACCUUCGCCGCCGGAAUUGAUAAGGUCUGCCAAAGACGAAGAUCUGGAGUUGUGGCUGUUGAAAUGGCAACACUUGUUGAAGACGACAAAACGUGUCACGCAUGAUCUUGUUGAUGAUACUAACUAGGGCUCUGCUCCUGCAUCAUCAAGAAUCCGGAGGCGUUCGCGUCUGCGUUCAUAACAGCCGCGAUGAGGUCAUAUGAGGAUCCAGACGACACAAGUCACGUUGUCGAUGUUCUUUG
Molecule: long non-coding RNA, 311 nt
Organism: Arabidopsis thaliana (thale cress)
Lineage: Eukaryota; Viridiplantae; Streptophyta; Magnoliopsida; Brassicales; Brassicaceae
Product: other RNA
Exons: 1
Source: RefSeq